RNAcentral lists this ribosomal RNA (571 nucleotides) under uncultured bacterium. RNAcentral describes it as "bacterial SSU rRNA". It matches the Rfam family "Bacterial small subunit ribosomal RNA", at positions 57 to 627 of the family's 1533-position model. The record is from RNAcentral.
GCAGUCGACGGAGCUACCUUUUCGGAAGUUUUCGGAUGGAAGAGGAAGUAGCUUAGUGGCGAACGGGUGAGUAACACGUGAGGAACCUGCCUUAAAGAGGGGGACAACAGUUGGAAACGACUGCUAAUACCGCAUAAGCCCACGGUGCCGCAUGGCACAGGGGGAAAAGGAGAAAUCCGCUUUAAGAUGGACUCGCGUCCAAUUAGCUAGAUGGUGAGGUAAAGGCUCACCAUGGCGACGAUUGGUAGCCGGACUGAGAGGUUGAACGGCCACAUUGGGACUGAGACACGGCCCAGACUCCUACGGGAGGCAGCAGUGGGGAAUAUUGCACAAUGGGGGAAACCCUGAUGCAGCGACGCCGCGUGGAGGAAGAAGGUUUUCGGAUUGUAAACUCCUGUCUUCGGGGACGAUAAUGACGGUACCCGAGGAGGAAGCCACGGCUAACUACGUGCCAGCAGCCGCGGUAAAACGUAGGUGGCAAGCGUCGUUCGGAAUUACUGGGUGUAAAGGGAGCGCAGGCGGGUCGGUAAGUUGGGAGUGAAAACUAUGGGCUCAACCCAUAAAUUGCUUU